GUAAUGUGAAUUGCAGAAUUCAGUGAAUCAUCGAAUCUUUGAACGCAUCUUGCGCCCCUUGGUAUUCCGAGGGGCAUGCCUGUUUGAGUGUCGU
This 94-nucleotide ribosomal RNA is filed under the name Kavinia himantia. Its description in RNAcentral is "partial 5.8S ribosomal RNA". It matches the Rfam family "5.8S ribosomal RNA", at positions 62 to 154 of the family's 154-position model. Rfam says of the family: 5.8S ribosomal RNA (5.8S rRNA) is a component of the large subunit of the eukaryotic ribosome. Lineage: Eukaryota; Fungi; Basidiomycota; Agaricomycetes; Gomphales; Lentariaceae. The record is from RNAcentral.